UAUACUCUAGUGUAUCUGGCACGUAAGACUUUGAUUCUUAAGGUAAUGGGCCACUCCCAUUGAGUAUAA
This 69-nucleotide transfer RNA is filed under the name Lysiosquillina maculata. RNAcentral's name for it is "tRNA-Gln". The record is from RNAcentral. Lineage: Eukaryota; Metazoa; Arthropoda; Malacostraca; Stomatopoda; Lysiosquillidae.